RNAcentral lists this transfer RNA (67 nucleotides) under Cautires sp. UPOL VK0439. RNAcentral's name for it is "tRNA-Phe". The record is from RNAcentral. Lineage: Eukaryota; Metazoa; Arthropoda; Insecta; Coleoptera; Lycidae.
UAUUUUAAUAGCUUAUAAGUAAAGUUUAAUAUUGAAGAUAUUAAGAAGAUAAUGUAUCUUAGAAUAU